This 298-nucleotide ribosomal RNA is filed under the name uncultured bacterium. RNAcentral describes it as "partial 16S ribosomal RNA". It matches the Rfam family "Bacterial small subunit ribosomal RNA", at positions 29 to 314 of the family's 1533-position model. The record is from RNAcentral.
AACGAACGCUGGCGGCGUGCCUAACACAUGCAAGUCGAGCGCGAAUGGGAGCAAUCCUAGUAGCGCGGCGCACGGGUGCGUAACACGUGGGUAAUCUGCCUGGGAGACCGGAAUAACCUGCCGAAAGGCUGGCUAAUACCGGAUAAGCCCACGGACUCUUCGGAGUCUGAGGGAAAAGGUGGCCUCUGUAUACAAGCUAUCACUUCCAGAUGAGCCCGCGGCCCAUCAGCUCGUUGGCGGGGUAAAGGCCACCAAGGCAACGACGGGUAGCUGGUCUGAGAGGACGAUCAGCCACACU